Molecule: ribosomal RNA, 253 nt
Filed under: uncultured bacterium
Lineage: Bacteria
Description: partial 16S ribosomal RNA
Rfam family: Bacterial small subunit ribosomal RNA
Source: RNAcentral
UACGUAGGCAGCGAGCGUUGUUCGGAGUUACUGGGCGUAAAGCGCGCGUAGGCGGUUCGUUAAGUGGGAUGUGAAAUCCCCGGGCUUAACCUGGGAAUUGCAUUUCAAACUGGCCGACUAGAGUACGGUAGAGGGAGGUAGAAUUUCCUGUGUAGCGGUGAAAUGCGUAGAUAUAGGAAGGAAUACCAGUGGCGAAGGCGGCCUCCUGGAUCGAUACUGACGCUGAGGCGCGAAAGCGUGGGGAGCAAACAGG